Molecule: long non-coding RNA, 513 nt
Organism: Balaenoptera ricei (Rice's whale)
Lineage: Eukaryota; Metazoa; Chordata; Mammalia; Artiodactyla; Balaenopteridae
Exons: 3
Source: RefSeq, a predicted model, not a curated record
AAUGUUGGCCUGUAACCAAUGAAUCUCGCCAUGUAGGUGCAUUUUCCUCUGGGGAAGGUAAAACACACCUUGUGAAGUAAGGACGUGACCAAAUGAUGGCUUUUGGGGGACCUGACUAGUGAAUCAGUUGGGAAUAUGAGAGCCACCACCCCUCUCCUUUAUAUCUCUUCUCAUCCCCACAGCCCUGUGCUAGGUACAGAUUAUGGACACGAAAGGUCCUUGACCUCAAGGAGCUCACAAUUGAAACCACGCACCAGUGGAGGAGUCUGGACGUGCCAGGAUUUCAGUCUGCAAUGUGAGUGGGUGUGUGGUUAAGAUAAAUCCUGUGAUGUGGUGGAGCUUUUUCAUUAGCUUCGGAGCUUGUAUUUUUCCUCCCUCAAGAGACGCCCAGAUCCCUGACUGAAAAGAAGACAGCUUCCUGGAGGGCUGGGAAGGACAGAGCUAUCCUGUUGGGACCUGCCCUAUCAGCGGUGACACACGGCCCCCCCCCACCCCCCCUCGUGUGUCCCAUCU